GGCCUCCUACUUCUUACCAUAGGCUGUGUUCUUUACACUGUAUAGAAAAAGGAAGUACAGUAAAUGCACCCUAUAUACACCUCAACACAGGCCCUUUGCCUGGUCUGUAUUCCAGUUUUUGGAAGAAUCU
Small nucleolar RNA from Suncus etruscus (white-toothed pygmy shrew), 130 nucleotides. RefSeq annotates it as small nucleolar RNA SNORA51. Lineage: Eukaryota; Metazoa; Chordata; Mammalia; Eulipotyphla; Soricidae. The transcript has a single exon. The record is from RefSeq and is a predicted model, not a curated record.